GAUGAACGCUGGCGGCGUGCCUAAUACAUGCAAGUCGAGCGAACAGAUGAGGAGCUUGCUCCUCUGACGUUAGCGGCGGACGGGUGAGUAACACGUGGAUAACCUACCUAUAAGACUGGGAUAACUUCGGGAAACCGGAGCUAAUACCGGAUAAUAUAUUGAACCGCAUGGUUCAAUAGUGAAAGACGGUUUUGCUGUCACUACUAGAUGGAUCCGCGCCGCAUUAGCUAGUUGGUAAGGUAACGGCUUACCAAGGCAACGAUGCGUAGCCGACCUGAGAGGGUGAUCGGCCACACUGGAACUGAGACACGGUCCAGACUCCUACGGGAGGCAGCAGUAGGGAAUCUUCCGCAAUGGGCGAAAGCCUGACGGAGCAACGCCGCGUGAGUGAUGAAGGUGUUCGGAUCGUAAAACUCUGUUAUUAGGGAAGGACAGAUGUGUAAGUAACUAUGCACGUCUUGACGGUACCUAGUCAGAAAGCCACGGCUAACUACGUG
Molecule: ribosomal RNA, 497 nt
Filed under: uncultured bacterium
Lineage: Bacteria
Description: partial 16S ribosomal RNA
Rfam family: Bacterial small subunit ribosomal RNA
Source: RNAcentral